RNAcentral lists this ribosomal RNA (253 nucleotides) under uncultured bacterium. RNAcentral's name for it is "partial 16S ribosomal RNA". It matches the Rfam family "Bacterial small subunit ribosomal RNA", at positions 524 to 776 of the family's 1533-position model. The record is from RNAcentral.
UACGUAGGGUGCGAGCGUUAAUCGGAAUUACUGGGCGUAAAGCGUGCGUAGUCGGUUAUCUAAGUCGGGUGUGAAAUCCCCGGGCUCAACCUGGGAAUUGCAUUCGAUACUGGAUAGCUAGAGUUCGGCAGAGGGAAGCGGAAUUUCCGGUGUAGCGGUGAAAUGCGUAGAUAUCGGAAGGAACAUCAGUGGCGAAAGCGGCUUCCUGGACCAGAACUGACGAUCAGGCACGAAAGCGUGGGGAGCAAACAGG